AAAAAUCAUUCGAAACAUUAGGCCACACCAAUUUAAUUUCUUGUUCUACGGAUUUUUGGACUACAAAAUUUGGGGCGAGCGAGCGAUUUGAAAAUUUUAAUAAAAAAAUAUUUAAUUUGCAAAUUUUUGAGGCGAAGCUUGAAAAGUAAAGGCGAGCGAUUAUAAUUUUUUUUGUAAACAGAAAAUAGUAGGUUUUGACAAUAUUAAAGCUUGAUUUCUCACUUUUACUUUGACAUUUCUUUAAUUUCUGAAGUAUUUUUUCCCUGUUCACCAAGAAAUAAUUAAAUCUGGUCUAUGUAUGUGUGACUGACAAUGACACAAUUCUCCAUCCAAGUCAUAAUCAGUUUUGGGACAACCCCUUAAUGUUAUAAAUAUCCCUUUUACAUGUUUUAUGAGGGAUCAAUAUAAGUUAUAAUAUAUUUGUUUGUACAAAAGGGCUCAUAUUUUCUCAAAGAAC
This 457-nucleotide long non-coding RNA is filed under the name Mytilus galloprovincialis (Mediterranean mussel). The record is from RNAcentral. Lineage: Eukaryota; Metazoa; Mollusca; Bivalvia; Mytilida; Mytilidae.